GUGCCAGCAGCCGCGGUAAUACAGGGGGUGCAAACGUUGCUCGGAAUCACUGGGCAUAAAGCGCACGUAGGCUGUCUACUAAGUCAGGUGUGAAAGCCCCCGGCUCAACCGGGGAACAGCACCUGAUACUGGUUGACUCGAGAAUGGUAGGGGUGAGUGGAACUCCAGGUGGAGCGGUGAAAUGCGUAGAUAUCUGGAGGAACACCGGUGGCGAAAGCGGCUCACUGGACCAUUUCUGACGCUGAGGUGCGAAAGCUAGGGGAGCAAACGGGAUUAGAUACCCCAGUAGUCC
RNAcentral lists this ribosomal RNA (292 nucleotides) under uncultured bacterium. RNAcentral's name for it is "partial 16S ribosomal RNA". It matches the Rfam family "Bacterial small subunit ribosomal RNA", at positions 505 to 796 of the family's 1533-position model. The record is from RNAcentral.